Molecule: ribosomal RNA, 477 nt
Filed under: uncultured Planctomycetota bacterium
Lineage: Bacteria; Pseudomonadati; Planctomycetota
Description: bacterial SSU rRNA
Rfam family: Bacterial small subunit ribosomal RNA
Source: RNAcentral
UUCGCAAUGCCCGAAAGGGUGAACGAGCGACGCCGCGUGCGGGAUGAAGGCCUUCGGGUUGUAAAGCCCUGUUAACUACUAUGAACCGCGAGGUGGUGAACAACCAUCCCGCCUGACGUAAGUAGCAAAGAAAGCACCGGCUAACUACGUGCCAGCAGCCGCGGUAAUACGUAGGGUGCUAACGUUGUUCGGAAUCACUGGGCAUAAAGAGCGCGUAGGCGGUCUGAUAAGUCAGGUGUGAAAUCCCCCGGCUCAACCGGGGAACUGCACCUGAUACUGUCGGGCUUGAGUGCAGGAGGGGAGAGCGGAAUUCCUGGUGGAGCGGUGAAAUGCGUAGAUAUCAGGAGGAACGCCGGCGGCGAAAGCGGCUCUCUGGUCUGUUACUGACGCUGAGUGCGCGAAAGCUAGGGGAGCAAACGGGAUUAGAUACCCCGGUAGUCCUAGCCCUAAACGAUGGGCACUAAGUAGAGGGGUUUU